RNAcentral lists this ribosomal RNA (2900 nucleotides) under Lachnospiraceae bacterium. RNAcentral describes it as "23S ribosomal RNA". It matches the Rfam family "Bacterial large subunit ribosomal RNA". Lineage: Bacteria; Bacillati; Bacillota; Clostridia; Lachnospirales; Lachnospiraceae. RNAcentral also lists the same sequence under 1 other name. The record is from RNAcentral.
AGGUUAAGCUAGGAAGAGCACAGGGUGGAUGCCUUGGCACUAAGAGCCGAAGAAAGACGUGAUAAGCUGCGAAAAGCUGCGGGGAGGAGCAAAUAUCCAGAGAGCCGCAGAUAUCUGAAUGGGGAAACCCACGCGGGAAGAAUCCGCGUAUCCGUACGUAAAUCCAUAGCGUGCGGAGGGGAACCCGGUGAACUGAAACAUCUAAGUAGCCGGAGGAAGAGAAAACAAAAGUGAUUCCGUAAGUAGCGGCGAGCGAAAGCGGAGGAGCCCAAACCGGAGUGCGUGCACACCGGGGUUCGGACUGCAGAAGUGACAUGCAAAUACAGUGGAACGGUACUGGAAAGACCGGCGGGAGAGGGUGAAAGCCCCGUACACGAAGUAAGAGCAUGCACGGCAGGAUCCAGAGUACGGCGAGACACGAGAAACCUUGCCGGAAGAAGCGGGGACCACCCCGUAAGGCUAAAUACUCCUUAGUGACCGAUAGAGCAGAGUACUGUGAAGGAAAGGUGAAAAGGACCCCGGGAGGGGAGUGAAAGAGAACCUGAAACCUUGUGUUUACAAGCUGUGGAACCAUGAGCGAUUGUGGAACCGCGUACUUUUUGUAGAACGGUCCGGCGAGUUGUGCAAACCGGUAGGUUAAGGGCUUAAGGUCCGGAGCCGGAGGGAAACCGAGUCUUAAUAGGGCGAAAAUCGGUUUGUGCAGACCCGAAACCGGGUGAUCUACCCAUGUCCAGGCUGAAGUCUGCGUAAAAGCAGAUGGAGGGCCGAACGCACAUCCGUUGAAAAGGGUGGCGAUGAGGUGUGGGUAGGGGAGAAAUUCCAAUCGAACCCGGAGAUAGCUGGUUCUCCCCGAAAUAGCUUUAGGGCUAGCCCUUCAGGAGUCACAUGGAGGUAGAGCACUGAAUACCCGAGGGGGCGUCAAAGCUUACCAAAGGUUAUCAAACUCCGAAUGCCAUGGAGAUGCUCUGGAGGAGUCAGACCGCACGAGAUAAGUUGGGCGGUCAAAAGGGAAAGAGCCCAGACCCGCGGCUAAGGUCCCGGAGUGCGUGUUAAGUGGAAAAGGAUGUGGGGAUUCAAAGACAGCCAGGAUGUUGGCUCAGAAGCAGCCAUACAUUAAAAGAGUGCGUAAUAGCUCACUGGCCGAGAGUGCCUGCGCCGAAAAUGUCCGGGGCUAAAACACGCCACCGAAGCCCGGGGAUCAUGAAGAAUGAUCGGUAGGGGAGCAUUGUUAACGCGAAGAAGCAGGACUGAAAGGUGUUGUGGAGUGUUAAGAAGAGAGAAUGCCGGAAUGAGUAGCGAGAAAGAGGUGAGAAUCCUCUUGGCCGAAUAUCCGAGGUUUCCAGAGUAAAGCUGAUCUGCUCUGGGUAAGUCGGGGCCUAAGGCGAGGCAGAGAUGCGUAGCCGAUGGACAACAGGUUGAGAUUCCUGUACUGGAUGGCAGCAGAACUGUGGGGACGCAUGUGGAGAGCACGAGCCGGAAGAGGAAAAGCCGGUGCAAGCGGAGGAGGAGUAUGGUUGGAAAAACCGCCAUGCAAUCCAAAGACGUGACGCGGAGCGAAAAAGAGUAGCGAAGCGUGUGAGCCAUGUGCCAAGAAAAGCCGCUAUAGACUGCCAUGCACCCGUACCGUAAACCGACACAGGUGGAUGAGGAGAGAAUCCUAAGGCCGACGGAAGAAGCAUUGUUAAGGAACUCGGCAAAAUGACCCCGUAACUUCGGGAGAAGGGGUGCCCUUGAAAUAGAGGGCCGCAGAGAAUAGGCUCAAGCAACUGUUUAGCAAAAACACAGGUCUAUGCAAAACCGAAAGGUGAAGUAUAUGGGCUGACGCCUGCCCGGUGCUGGAAGGUUAAGAGGAGAGGUUAAAAGGAGAAAUUCUUUGAAGCUUUGAAUUUAAGCCCCAGUAAACGGCGGCCGUAACUAUAACGGUCCUAAGGUAGCGAAAUUCCUUGUCGGGUAAGUUCCGACCCGCACGAAAGGCGUAAUGAUUUGAGCACUGUCUCGACAAUGCAUCCGGUGAAAUUGAAGUACCAGUGAAGAUGCUGGUUACCCGCGCCAGGACGGAAAGACCCCAUGGAGCUUUACUCCAGCUUGAUACUGGGAUCCGGUGCUGUAUGUACAGGAUAGGUGGGAGGCGAAGAAGUGAGGACGCCAGUUUUCACAGAGCCGAUGUUGGGAUACCACCCUUACAGUACUGGGUUUCUAACCUGCCGCCGUAAACCGGCGGGGGGACAAUGUCUGGCGGGGAGUUUGACUGGGGCGGUCGCCUCCGAAAGGGUAUCGGAGGCGCUCAAAGGUUCCCUCAGAAUGGUUGGAAACCAUUCGAAGAGUGCAAAGGCAGAAGGGAGCUUGACUGUGACACCGACGGGUGGAGCAGGUACGAAAGUAGGACUUAGUGAUCCGGUGGUAUGAAAGUGGGAUUGCCAUCGCUCAACGGAUAAAAGCUACCCUGGGGAUAACAGGCUUAUCACUCCCAAGAGUUCACAUCGACGGAGUGGUUUGGCACCUCGAUGUCGGCUCAUCGCAUCCUGGGGCUGUAGCAGGUCCCAAGGGUUGGGCUGUUCGCCCAUUAAAGCGGUACGCGAGCUGGGUUCAGAACGUCGUGAGACAGUUCGGUCCCUAUCCGGCGCGGGCGCAGGAUAUCUGAGAGGAGCUGUCCUUAGUACGAGAGGACCGGGAUGGACGGACCACUGGUGGAUCUGUUGGCAUACCAGUGCCAUGGCAGAGUAGCCAAGUCCGGAAGGGAUAAACGCUGAAGGCAUCUAAGCGUGAAGCCCCCCUCAAGAUGAGAUAUCCCAGACGAAAGUCAGAAGACCCCUUGAAGACGACGAGGUAGAUAGGCCAUAGGUGGAAGUGCAGCAAUGUAUGGAGCAGAAUGGUACUAAUCGGUUGAGGGCUUAUCCUGA